RNAcentral lists this ribosomal RNA (441 nucleotides) under uncultured bacterium. RNAcentral describes it as "partial 16S ribosomal RNA". It matches the Rfam family "Bacterial small subunit ribosomal RNA", at positions 338 to 795 of the family's 1533-position model. The record is from RNAcentral.
CCUACGGGUGGCAGCAGUGGGGAAUAUUGCACAAUGGGGGAAACCCUGAUGCAGCGACGCCGCGUGAGUGAAGAAGUAUUUCGGUAUGUAAAGCUCUGUCAGCAGGGAAGAAAAUGACGGUACCUGACCAAGAAGCCCCGGCUAACUACGUGCCAGCAGCCGCGGUAAUACGUAGGGGGCAAGCGUUAUCCGGAUUUAUUGGGUUUAAAGGGUGCGUAGGCUGGGAGGUAAGUCAGCGGUGAAAUGCCCCCGCUCAACGGGGUGAAGUGCCAUUGAUACUGCCUUGCUGGAAUGCGGAUGCCGUGGGAGGAAUGUGUGGUGUAGCGGUGAAAUGCAUAGAUAUCACACAGAACACCGAUUGCGAAGGCAUCUCACGAAGCCGCGAUUGACGCUGAUGCACGAAAGCGUGGGGAUCAAACAGGAUUAGAUACCCCUGUAGUC